This is a long non-coding RNA of Cyprinus carpio carpio, 902 nucleotides long. The record is from Ensembl. NCBI's taxonomy places the organism in Eukaryota, Metazoa, Chordata, Actinopteri, Cypriniformes, Cyprinidae.
AUGUUAUCAAGUGUCAGGACAAGUUUAUAAUUUUAUGUACUAUGUAAACGCUGUGUAAUGUGUUUGAUGGGCGCGCGCGUUGAACAUUCGACGCGCAUUUAAACUGUGGAGGGAGUUACCAUGGAAACGGGGCGGCAACUCAGCUGACAAGUAGCAAAUCUCUCCGUCUCUCACUGUUGUUUUUACUGCUUUCAGAAAUGGUUCAGUGUCAUGGGAAUAAGUCCGUUAGCAUCACAACCGUGAGCUAACAGAGGCUAACUAUAAGAGGUGUUUGAUUUGUGAGCAUAGCCGUUCGAGGGAGGCUUUAAGACUAAGCGGAAUCCUCUGUCGGCUGCUCGCUCCCGCUUCACAGCGAGCGGGUCUCGCGCUAACCGUGUUGGGUUUUUUAAACGACCACGUUUCGACUUCAGCUAACAGCUAAUCAGUUUGGGAGAAUGCAAACAACGUGAUUCCAACAUCCAGACAUGCAAGAAAACGUGCAUUUUACCUGAGGGAAGACGUAAUCAAUAAGGAAAGUCGUCUUUCUUUAAUCAGAGUUGGAGUGGACCUCUUGUUGAAGAACUUCUCCAGGCACUAUGAACCAUCUGACUAGCCAUCCUGUUUAACACUGCACUGAGGACACUACAACCAGAGAGAUGCUGUCAUGAAACGCCAUGAAAAGGCAACUGCUGGACACCUGGGACAGGCCAUCAAUUCCAAGUUGGCGUCAAUUCCCUGUUAGAGUUUAGAGUUGUCUAAUAGAGAGGGUGAAGGAAGAACAUCCAAACCCUGCCCCUGCUUCCUUCAAGAUUUUUUAUGGAUUUAUAUAAUGAUGUUUUUUCGUAAAGUAAAGAGAGUGGCAAAAUUAACAUGACCCUACUUUGAUGUUUUGUUCUACAAAUUAAACUACACACACACUCCAA